UGCCUGGGGGCACGAUGUUGAAGUGAUGAGGACUGAAGCACAACGGCACCUCUGCUCUUAUUCCUUUUGAAGAACUCGCUUUUUCCUUUUCCUCUGUCCCCAACAAGCUGUCACUGAUAGUUGUGGUAUCACAUCCCCCAACUGAGAUGAUGGGAUUGAGACUCAAACCCAACAGUUUUCAAGAGAGGUCACUGAAGUUGAGAGGUGAACUAGUCACAGGUCAGGCUGAAUCCAGGACUGUCUCCAGUGGCAUGUUUGCCUUAAGCCCCUCUUGAAGCAGAUUAACUUUUCCAAACGAUGCUAUUUUUACGUUACUUUCAAAGGCCAGAUAUAUUUACCAAUAUGACAUCACAUGUGAUAGGAACUGAAAGGGGAUGGUGAUAAUCAGUGAGAGACUGGGGUAUAAUUGUUGAUUCAGAAAUGUUUAAAUUCUGGGUCAACACUAGAAUCCCAUGCGCUGCAUUGCUCUCAUCUCCGCAUUCUUCACUCCCCAUGUUCAGUGCUAGCCUUAUGCAGACACCUCAUGCUGUCAUCUUUCAGACAUUCAGUUGAAACCCAAGGGAGGCUUAUCUUUAAGGAAUGCGCUGUUUCCCCUGCAAUAGUGACAGCUUUACAGUUCACAUCUCAGCAUUCAGAGAGAAUUUGUGACCCUUAUUCAGGCUACUGUACAGAGUCAAAGUUUCCACCAAAGGUCUUUUCCUUUUGUUGUAUCUGAUGCAUAUCCAUUUCUUUGAGGAAAGCUGUCUUUUUCUUGCUUUGCCCAUAUCAGCUAUUACCAUUUAUGGAGUAGCUGCGAUACCAAACUUGGGCUCACAGCAUGUAAAAGAAUCAAUAUGUUGAUAUUAAAAAAAAAACAACCGUCAAAAAUAUUUUAGGUUAGUUUG
Molecule: long non-coding RNA, 884 nt
Organism: Gavialis gangeticus (Gharial)
Lineage: Eukaryota; Metazoa; Chordata; Crocodylia; Gavialidae
Exons: 2
Source: RefSeq, a predicted model, not a curated record